RNAcentral lists this long non-coding RNA (9629 nucleotides) under Citrus x clementina. RNAcentral describes it as "Citrus clementina (C. clementina) long non-coding RNA (CCLE_LNC005429)". Lineage: Eukaryota; Viridiplantae; Streptophyta; Magnoliopsida; Sapindales; Rutaceae. The record is from RNAcentral.
UGGGGUCUUGGGACCCCGACCUUCGGGGGCUGAUUUUUGGGCGCGGCUGUGCCCGUGGCCUAUUUUUGGCACACGGAGGCCGCCCGCCAAGUCUGGGGCCAUUCCGAGUCCGGCGGACGAACUUCGCCCACGCCCCCCACCAAGGCUAUAGCCCACCCGUUUUUUGGCCAUUUUUCCGCUGGGGGGUCUUGGGACCCCGACCUUCGGGGGCUGAUUUUUGGGCGCGGCUGUGCCCGUGGCCUAUUUUUGGCACACGGAGGCCGCCCGCCAAGUCUGGGGCCAUUCCGAGUCCGGCGGACGAACUUCGCCCACGCCCCCCACCAAGGCUAUAGCCCACCCGUUUUUUGGCCAUUUUUCCGCUGGGGGGUCUUGGGACCCCGACCUUCGGGGGCUGAUUUUUGGGCGCGGCUGUGCCCGUGGCCUAUUUUUGGCACACGGAGGCCGCCCGCCAAGUCUGGGGCCAUUCCGAGUCCGGCGGACGAACUUCGCCCACGCCCCCCACCAAGGCUAUAGCCCACCUGUUUUUUGGCCAUUUUCCGCUGGACGAACUUGGCGCCCCGGCCUUCGGGCGGUUAUUUUUGGGCGCGGCUUUGCCCGCGGCCUAUUUUUGGAACACGGAGGCCCCUUGCAAAGUCUCAUGGCAUUCCGAGACCGGCGGACAAAGUUGGCCAGCCCCACCCCCCAAGGCUAUAGCUGUAACGCCACAAAUUCCCAUACAUAUUAAAUUAUGGAAAUUGGGCUUUCAUUGAGAAUUAUGGGUGGCCUAUAACCCUUAUUUAGAAAGGGGUACUAGUUAAAUAGAGGUUAUUUAUGAGAUCAUUUUGGAAAAGGGCUAUUUUUCCUUAUUGAAUAGGGUUUCUUAAGAUCCCCUAUAAAUACAUACUUUUCCCCCUUCCAUAACCCUAAGUUCACAACGUUUAUCCUUCUUCUCUGCUGCUCUUUACGCUCCUACCCAAAUCUUAGGAUUCAAACCUUUGUUUAGGAGAGACUCAAAGCGACGGGUAAGUUCACAACGUUUAUUCUGAACAGCAUGAGUAUCUCGAAUUUUUAAAGCUAUAUUUUCUGAACGAAUUUUCUUAUAAAAUUUAUAUUUCUGGAAACUAGACAUGUAGGGCUUCUUGAUUAAAUUUUAUUUCAUUAAAUUCAACUUCGUUUUCAAUUUUAUACGUAUUUUGGAAAUAGAAACCACUGCACUGGAAAUCCACGAUUCCAGUAUUGUGAUCAGAUUCACAAGACUAUUUGUACCACCAAAUGAACUCAAAAAAUUCUGAAAGUUUAUAUGUAUGUUAAUAUAUGUGUCUAGGAUUCCCAGUUUUAAUUUCAUAAUUUUCUGAUUAGUAUUUUAUUUUAUAAAAAUCACGGAACCCGUUCUGUUUGGUUUAGAUUAUGUGAAAACAGUUUCGAAUUUGCUGAGAAGUAAAUAGUUUUUAAAAUGUUUUUGAUAUCGGAUCCUCUUGUAAAUUUUACAUGGGGUACUCAUGGAUGUCCAGAAUGGUUCCAUAGGAUUUUAUAUCAUUCUGAGUCUUUGAUUAAGAGUUAAAAUUCCGAGAAUCAGACCUGUACGGGUAUGAAUUAGAAAAUCAAAUUCUUAGAAUAAGUUAUUGAUUGUCAUAUCUUGUAUUUGUUUAAGGUUUUGAAGGUGUUUGAGGCUCUUAGAAGCUUAGAGGUGUGUUAAUCCAAGUUCAUUUGUCGAGGUAAGUAACUUCAUUCCUAAUGUACUGGAUAUGUAGAAGUAUUUUGAUAUUAUUAUUAUAAGUAUAAAUGUUUUGAUACUACUUAAAGGAUUACUAAUUUUGAUAACAAAAUUAGCUUUAUGUAAAUGUUUUCAAACCAUUCUUUUUAACAAAGUAUUUUAUAAAUGCUUUUUAAUAUGUAAAUGAUUUUAUGACAUGACAACCUUUUAUGAUGUUAUCUUUAAAAUGUUAUGCAAGCCUAUAUUAUUGAUAUGAACUUUUAUAAAUCUGAUACGAAUGUUUUGUACCCAUAUAUGAUUUCAAUUACUGAUAAUUGUAUGAGAUUCCUAAUGUUUUGUCCAUAGUUAUUCUGAUUCUGAUUCUGAUUUUGAUCGUAAUAUACGAUAUAUCUGUCUGGACCAGUACUGGGUUUCUGUUCUGAAUGUGCACACGAUAUUCUGAUUCUGUUUCUGGCCGGGUCACCGGGACUAUAGGUGACACUAUGUGACAUGAGCUAACCUGUUUGUUUUCUGUAUACGUAUUACAUGAGUUGAUUCGUAAGUAAAUAUGCUUUUGAAUAUUCUGAAUUAUUAAGAAUUUAUCUUAUGUUAUUGUGAUAUAUCGUUUUAUGAAAAUUAUGGAUUAUGAUAUAUGCUUUAAACAAAAGAAGGCUUGCAAUAUUUUUGGUAUCGAUAGGCCUAGUGUGUUAGGAAUGGUUUUAUUUACCGAGUUGACAGCUCACCCCUCGUCAUUACGUUUUUGCAGAUUAAGUUUCUUUUGAGAGGUGCACUUAGCUUUGGAGUUAAUGAUUUCCAGUUUCCGUUUGCUAUUGAAUAAGAGGAGGAAUAGACUUGUGUUUCUAUUUAGUUACUUUUAUUAUGAACGUGUAAUUUGGAGUUUGAGACUUUUGUUAUUAUUUUUAUAUGUCCUCGAGAGAGAUUAUUUAGUAUUUGACGUUUGGAUUUAUGGAUUUAUUUGAAUAAGAAUUGGAGGAAUUUCAGUUUGAAACUUAUGAGUAAAGAUUAUGAUUUGUGAGUAACCUCCUUCUUCACGUGCUCCGCACGUGUUAGAUUUGGGGUGUUACAAUUGUGGUAUCAGAGCAAGGUUAGGAUUCUGUAGACUUUCUUUUACCGUUUAAUUAGAUUGUCUAAUUAAAUCGAUUACAUUUGUUUUGUAGACAUGAAGAAGGACAAUAUGGGUAUGAUUUAUUGCUCUUGUUUACAAUAUCAAAUUUUCUUAGUUACACUACUUAUUCAGUACUCUGCGCGCUUGCACGACCUUUAGCUAUGAAUUAUUUACCCCUUUUUAAUUAUUUAUUUAUUCUCUGUGUUAUAGUCAAGAGAUGUCACGUAAGGGAGGUGCUAGGCAUGCCUCUAGCUCGAGAGAUGUUUUAGGUAUCGCUGACGACGCUGACCCAACCUUGCACGAGAUGGCUAACGAAGGAAAUCCUAUGAUGCGCGCAAUGCUUAGAUUGAUGGAACAACAAAGUAAGUUAAUUCAAGAUAUGGCUAGAGGCAGAGUUGGGGCACAAGAGAAUGUGCCAGUUGAAAGGCAAGGUGGCGCAAGAGAUCAUGGGGCUAUGGUGAACUUAGAACGAUUUAAGAAAUUGGGACCACCUACCUUUCAGGGGACUGCCGAUCCCAUGGUUGCAGAGGCAUGGCUAAAACAGAUGGAGAAGAUAUUUGUGGCUAUGGGUUGUAAUGAUGAUCAAAGGGUAAUAUUAGCCUCAUUUGUCCUUCAGGGUGAGGCAGACCACUGGUGGGAUGCCAAAUCUCGUCUCAUAAGGGCUGGCUUGCAAGAUGCACCCAUUACUUGGGAGUUAUUUUUGGAGGCUUUUCAUGAAAAGUAUUUUCCUGAACGAGUUCGACAUCAGAUGGAGGCUGAUUUCUUGAGGUUGACUCAAGGAACAAAGUCUGUUGCGGAGUAUGAGGAACAAUUUACUGCCCUCUCUCGUUUUGCUCAUACCUUGGUUGCUAAUGAAGGUAGUAAGUGUAGGAAGUUCCUGGAAGGGUUACGUCCUAACAUUAAAGGGCGAUUGACCAUCCUUAAGAUUAACAAUUAUGCCGAUUUGGUGGACCGAGCAAUUCUUGCGGAGAAGGAUAUUCUUGAAGCCCAAGUUACAAGGGAUCAGAGAAAUAAGAAGAAUCCACAAGGUGGACCGCAAAAUGGAAGUUCUUAUAGGCAGGGUCCUCACUCCCAGAAGUAUAAUGGUGGAGGUAACAAAUGGGAUAACAAGGGUGUUCCUGAUGACACUGCUCGGAGGAACUACCCCAUUUGUCGACAUUGUGAAAGGAGGCACCCUGGUGAAUGCCAUUGGAAAACUGGAGCUUGUUUUGCUUGUGGAGAAUCUGGGCAUAGGAUUAUGGAUUGCCCAAAGAGACGUAGCGAGACUACAAAUACUCAGACUAACGAAGGGCAGAGGAAGAAACCGAGGGUGCAAGGGCGUGUUUUUGCACUAACAGAAAAAGAUGCUGAGGUGUCCAAUGAUGUAGUAUCAGGUACAUUGUCCUUAUUCUCUAGAGAAGCCAAAGUUCUUUUUGAUCCUGGUGCUACACAUUCAUUUGUAUCUUGUGUGUUUGCCCGUUAUGCUAAUGUGCCUAUCACACCACUGGAUGUUCACGUGACAAUUAGUACCCCUAUGGGGGAUUGCCAGUUUAUAGAUCAUGUCUAUAAGUCAUGUGUGAUCAGAUUGUGUGAUAAAGAAUUCCUUGUGGAUCUCCUACCUUUAGAGAUGCACGAUUUUGAUUUGAUUUUGGGGAUGGAUUGGUUAGGACCUUACCAUGUUUCAAUAGAUUGUUUUGCUAAGGAAAUUAUUUUCGCCUACCUGGCGAGGAAGAAUUUCAUUUUCAAGGGAAUCAUAAGAGUCAUAAAGCUUUGAUUUCUAUGGUUAAGGCAAUGAAAAUGCUAAAGAAGGGGUGUGAAGGAUUUUUAGCGUAUAUAGUUGCUGACCAUCCCGAUGGGGCGUGCCUUGAAGACAUACCUAUUGUAAGGGAGUUUAUUGAUGUAUUUCCUGAAGAUCUUCCGGGACUACCCCCAGAUCGAGAGGUUGAGUUUACUAUAGAAUUAGUUCCUGGUACUACACCUAUAUCCAAGGCACCAUAUCGGAUGGCACCCAUUGAAUUAAAAGAACUAAAGGUCCAGCUACAAGAAUUACUAGAUAAGGGUUUCAUUCGUCCUAGUGUGUCGCCUUGGGGUGCUCCCGUUUUGUUCGUAAAGAAGAAAGAUGGUUCAAUGAGGUUGUGUAUAGACUACCGGCAGUUGAAUAUGGUUACCGUCAAGAAUAAAUACCCUCUUCCCCGAAUUGAUGACCUCUUUGAUCAAUUACGAGGUGCAGCGGUAUUCUCUAAAAUUGAUUUACGAUCUGGCUACCAUCAAUUGAAAAUAAGAAGUGAGGAUGUAUCGAAGACAGCUUUUCGAACUCGUUAUGGACAUUAUGAGUUCUUAGUUAUGCCUUUUGGAUUAACUAAUGCUCCUGCAGUGUUCAUGGAUUUGAUGAAUAGGAUCUUCCAACCUUAUCUUGACCAGUUUGUUAUCGUCUUUAUUGAUGACAUAUUAAUUUACUCUAAUAGUAAGAAGGAGCACGAGACGCACCUGAGGAUUGUAUUAGAAACAUUGCGGGAGAAGAAGUUGUAUGGAAAAUUUAAGAAAUGUGAGUUUUGGCUUGAUCGUGUGAUGUUUUUGGGACAUAUAGUGACGAAGGAUGGUAUUUCAGCAGAUCCAGCCAAAGUGGAGGUAAUUGUGAAUUGGGAAAGGCCUGCUAGUGUGACUGAAGUAAGGAGUUUCUUAGGAUUGGCAGGUUAUUAUAGGCGCUUUGUCAAAGGAUUUUCUAGCAUAGCAGCACCAUUGACUAAUUUGACUAAGAAGAAUGUGAAGUUCAAUUGGGAUGAGGCAUGUGAAAAGAGCUUUCAAGAGCUCAAGAGUCAUUUGGUGACUGCCCCCGUUUUAACUCUCCCUUCUGAAGGUGGAGGUUUUGUGAUUUACAGUGAUGCUUCCAGAAAAGGUUUGGGUUGCGUUUUAAUGCAACAUGGUAAGGUUAUAGCAUAUGCUUCUAGGCAGCUAAAGAAUCAUGAACAAAACUACCCAACACACGAUUUGGAAUUGGCUGCUAUGGUGUUUGCUCUAAAAAUCUGGAGACACUAUUUGUAUGGGGAGACUUGUGAGAUCUUCACCGAUCAUAAGAGUUUGAAGUACUUGUUUACUCAAAAGGAAUUGAAUUUGAGGCAAAGAAGAUGGUUGGAGUUGGUAAAGGAUUUUGAUUGUUCUAUUAAUUAAAAUCCGUGAAGAUGUGAGCAAAGGACAUAAGCCCGGAUUUAGACUUGAUAAUGGGGAUGGAUUAUGGUUGGGACAAAGGUUAUGCGUGCCAGCAGACGAAGAGUUGAAGGCGGAGAUCUUAAGAGAAGCUCAUGAAUCAUCUUACAGUUUGCAUCCUGGUAGUACUAAGAUGUAUCGUGAUCUAAAGCAAAGUUUUUGGUGGAGGAAUAUGAAGAGAGAUAUUGCUGCUUUUGUGUCUCGGUGUUUAGUCUGCCAACAAGUAAAGAUUGAGCAUCAAAGACCAGCAGGAACUUUACAAACGCUUCCUAUUCCUCAGUGGAAAUGGGAACACAUAACAAUGGAUUUCGUUUCUGGAUUACCUCGUUCUAGGAGGGGAUGUGAUUGCAUUUGGGUAAUUGUUGAUCGAUUGACGAAAUCAGCUCAUUUCUUGGCAAGGAAGAGUACAGACAAUGUAGGGCAACUAGCUAAGUUGUUCAUUAAGGAGAUAGUGAGGCUUCAUGGAGUUCCAGUGUCAAUAGUGUCUGAUAGAGAUCCACUGUUCACUUCAAGAUUUUGGGCUAGCUUACAUAAAGAGUUGGGGACGAAAUUGAGAUUUAGCACUGCUUUCCAUCCACAGACAGAUGGGCAAUCCGAAAGGACUAUUCAAACCCUUGAGGAUAUGCUUCGAGCUUGCGUCCUAGACUUGAGUGGUGGUUGGGAAGAGCACCUAAUGUUGAUCGAAUUUGCUUAUAACAAUAGCUUCCAUUCGAGUAUUGGCAUGGCACCAUUUGAGGCAUUAUAUGGAAGAAAGUGUAGGUCCCCAAUCUGCUGGGAUGAAGUUGGUGAAAGAAAACUUUUGGGUCCAGAAUUAAUACAGAUUACUGUUGAUAAAAUCAAGUUGAUUAGAGGACGUCUUCAAACAGCUCAGAGCAGACAGAAGAGUUAUGCAGAUCGUCGUAGACGUGAGUUGGAAUUCGAAAAAGGAGAUUUUGUUUUCUUGAAAGUAUCGCCAUGGAAAGGGGUGUUUCGGUUCGGGAAGACAGGAAAGCUUAGCCCUAGAUUUAUUGGACCAUUUGAGAUUUUAGAGAGAAUUGGUCCGGUGGCCUAUCGCAUAGCUUUACCACCAAGUCUGUCUAGGCUUCACAAUGUAUUUCAUGUGUCUGUGUUAAGAAAGUACAUUGCAGACCCUUUACAUGUGCUAGACUAUCAACCGAUUCAGAUAAAUGAAGACAUGUCGUAUGAGGAACAGCCUAUUGAGAUUGUCGUUAAGGAACAAGUAUUAAGGAAUAGAGUUAUUCCCCUAGUGAAGGUACGAUGGAUGAAUCAUUCUAUUGAGGAAGCCACUUGGGAGAGAGAAGCAGAAAUGUUGGAGAAGUAUCCUCAACUCUUCCAUGCAUAAGGUAACCUUUUAAUUUCGAGGACGAAAUUUUUGUUAGGAGGGGAGAAAUUGUAACGCCACAAAUUCGCAUACAUAUUAAAUUAUGGAAAUUGGGCUUUCAUUGAGAAUUAUGGGUGGCCUAUAACCCUUAUUUAGAAAGGGGUACUAAUUAAAUAGAGGUUAUUUAUGAGAUCAUUUUGGAAAAGGGCUAUUUUUCCUUAUUGAAUAGGGUUUCUUAAGAUCCCCUAUAAAUACAUACUUUUCCCCCUUCCAUAACCCUAAGUUCACAACGUUUAUCCUUCUUCUCUGCUGCUCUUUACGCUCCUACCCAAAUCUUAGGAUUCAAACCUUUGUUUAGGAGAGACUCAAAGCGACGGGUAAGUUCACAACGUUUAUUCUGAACAGCAUGAGUAUCUCGAAUUUUUAAAGCUAUAUUUUCUGAACGAAUUUUCUUAUAAAAUUUAUAUUUCUGGAAACUAGACAUGUAGGGCUUCUUGAUUAAAUUUUAUUUCAUUAAAUUCAACUUCGUUUUCAAUUUUAUACGUAUUUUGGAAAUAGAAACCACUGCACUGGAAAUCCACGAUUCCAGUAUUGUGAUCAGAUUCACAAGACUAUUUGUACCACCAAAUGAACUCACAAAAUUCUGAAAGUUUAUAUGUAUGUUAAUAUAUGUGUCUAGGAUUCCCAGUUUUAAUUUCAUAAUUUUCUGAUUAGUAUUUUAUUUUAUAAAAAUCACGGAACCCGUUCUGUUUGGUUUAGAUUAUGUGAAAACAGUUUCGAAUUUGCUGAGAAGUAAAUAGUUUUUAAAAUGUUUUUGAUAUCGGAUCCUCUUGUAAAUUUUACAUGGGGUACUCAUGGAUGUCCAGAAUGGUUCCAUAGGAUUUUAUAUCAUUCUGAGUCUUUGAUUAAGAGUUAAAAUUCCGAGAAUCAGACCUGUACGGGUAUGAAUUAGAAAAUCAAAUUCUUAGAAUAAGUUAUUGAUUGUCAUAUCUUGUAUUUGUUUAAGGUUUUGAAGGUGUUUGAGGCUCUUAGAAGCUUAGAGGUGUGUUAAUCCAAGUUCAUUUGUCGAGGUAAGUAACUUCAUUCCUAAUGUACUGGAUAUGUAGAAGUAUUUUGAUAUUAUUAUUAUAAGUAUAAAUGUUUUGAUACUACUUAAAGGAUUACUAAUUUUGAUAACAAAAUUAGCUUUAUGUAAAUGUUUUCAAACCAUUCUUUUUAACAAAGUAUUUUAUAAAUGCUUUUUAAUAUGUAAAUGAUUUUAUGACAUGACAACCUUUUAUGAUGUUAUCUUUAAAAUGUUAUGCAAGCCUAUAUUAUUGAUAUGAACUUUUAUAAAUCUGAUACGAAUGUUUUGUACCCAUAUAUGAUUUCAAUUACUGAUAAUUGUAUGAGAUUCCUAAUGUUUUGGCUCAUUGUCCAUAGUUAUUCUGAUUCUGAUUCUGAUCGUAAUAUACGAUAUAUCUGUCUGGACCAGUACUGGGUUUCUGUUCUGAAUGUGCACACGAUAUUCUGAUUAUGUUUCUGGCCGGGUCACCGGGACUAUAGGUGACACUAUGUGACAUGAGCUAACCUGUUUGUUUUCUGUAUACGUAUUACAUGAGUUGAUUCGUAAGUAAAUAUGCUUUUGAAUAUUCUGAAUUAUUAAGAAUUUAUCUUAUGUUAUUGUGAUAUAUCGUUUUAUGAAAAUUAUGGAUUAUGAUAUAUGCUUUAAACAAAAGAAGGCUUGCAAUAUUUUUGGUAUCGAUAGGCCUAGUGUGUUAGGAAUGGUUUUAUUUACCGAGUUGACGGCUCACCCCUCGUCAUUACUUUUUGCAGAUUAAGUUUCUUUUGAGAGGUGCACUUAGCUUUGGAGUUAAUGAUUUCCAGUUUCCGUUUGCUAUUGAAUAAGAGGAGGAAUAGACUUGUGUUUCUAUUUAGUUACUUUUAUUAUGAACGUGUAAUUUGGAGUUUGAGACUUUUGUUAUUAUUUUUAUAUGUCCUCGAGAGAGAUUAUUUAGUAUUUGACGUUUGGAUUUAUGGAUUUAUUUGAAUAAGAAUUGGAGGAAUUUCAGUUUGAAACUUAUGAGUAAAGAUUAUGAUUUGUGAGUAACCUCCUUCUUCACGUGCUCCGCACGUGUUAGAUUUGGGGUGUUACAAUUGUGGUAUAGGCUAUAGUCCACCCGUUUUUGUGGCCUUUUUCCGCUGUACAAACUUGGCGCCCCGACCUUCGGGCUGUUAAUUUUGGACUCGGCUUUGCCCGCGGCCUAUUUUUGGCACACGGAGGCCCCUCGCAAAGUCUCGCGGCAUUCCGAGUCCGGCGGACGAAGUUGGCCAGCCCCACCCCCCAC